AUCCAACUGAUGAGUCCUAAAUAGGACGAAACGCGCGUCCUGGAU
RNAcentral lists this non-coding RNA (45 nucleotides) under Schistosoma mattheei. Lineage: Eukaryota; Metazoa; Platyhelminthes; Trematoda; Strigeidida; Schistosomatidae. The record is from RNAcentral.